GAAUCUAAGCGGUGGAUCACUCGGGUCGAUGAAGAACGCAGCCAGCUGCGAGACUUGGUGUGAAUUGCUGGACACUCUGAGCACUGAUUCUUUGAACGCACAUUGCGGCCUUGGGUCUUCCCUUGGCUUCGUCUGUCAGAGGGUCG
Molecule: ribosomal RNA, 146 nt
Filed under: Dermacentor andersoni
Lineage: Eukaryota; Metazoa; Arthropoda; Arachnida; Ixodida; Ixodidae
Description: 5.8S ribosomal RNA
Rfam family: 5.8S ribosomal RNA
About the family: 5.8S ribosomal RNA (5.8S rRNA) is a component of the large subunit of the eukaryotic ribosome.
Source: RNAcentral